GUAAACGAUGUCGACUUGGAGGUUGUGCCCUUGAGGCGUGGCUUCCGGAGCUAACGCGUUAAGUCGACCGCCUGGGGAGUACGGCCGCAAGGUUAAAACUCAAAUGAAUUGACGGGGGCCCGCACAAGCGGUGGAGCAUGUGGUUUAAUUCGAUGCAGCGCGAAGAACCUUACCUGGUCUUGACAUCCACGGAAGUUUUCAGAGAUGAGAAUGUGCCUUCGGGAACCGUGAGACAGGUGCUGCAUGGCUGUCGUCAGCUCGUGUUGUGAAAUGUUGGGUUAAGUCCCGCAACGAGCGCAACCCUUAUCCUUUGUUGCCAGCGGUCCGGCCGGGAACUCAAAGGAGACUGCCAGUGAUAAACUGGAGGAAGGUGGGGAUGACGUCAAGUCAUCAUGGCCCUUACGACCAGGGCUACACACGUGCUACAAUGGCGCAUACAAAGAGAAGCGACCUCGCGAGAGCAAGCGGACCUCAUAAAGUGCGUCGUAGUCCGGAUUGGAGUCUGCAACUCGACUCCAUGAAGUCGGAAUCGCUAGUAAUCGUGGAUCAGAAUGCCACGG
RNAcentral lists this ribosomal RNA (560 nucleotides) under Shigella sp. RNAcentral's name for it is "bacterial SSU rRNA". It matches the Rfam family "Bacterial small subunit ribosomal RNA", at positions 802 to 1362 of the family's 1533-position model. The record is from RNAcentral. Lineage: Bacteria; Pseudomonadati; Pseudomonadota; Gammaproteobacteria; Enterobacterales; Enterobacteriaceae.